Molecule: ribosomal RNA, 407 nt
Filed under: uncultured bacterium
Lineage: Bacteria
Description: bacterial SSU rRNA
Rfam family: Bacterial small subunit ribosomal RNA
Source: RNAcentral
GGGGAAUAUUGCACAAUGGGGGAAACCCUGAUGCAGCGACGCCGCGUGGGGGAUGACGGCCUUCGGGUUGUAAACCUCUUUCAGUAGGGAAGAAGCCUUCGGGUGACGGUACCUGCAGAAGAAGUACCGGCUAACUACGUGCCAGCAGCCGCGGUAAUACGUAGGGUACAAGCGUUGUCCGGAAUUAUUGGGCGUAAAGAGCUCGUAGGUGGUCUGUCACGUCUGCUGUGGAAACGCAAGGCUCAACCUUGCGCGUGCAGUGGGUACGGGCGGACUAGAGUGCAGUAGGGGAGUCUGGAAUUCCUGGUGUAGCGGUGAAAUGCGCAGAUAUCAGGAGGAACACCGGUGGCGAAGGCGGGACUCUGGGCUGUAACUGACGCUGAGGAGCGAAAGCAUGGGGAGCGAAC